Molecule: small nuclear RNA, 215 nt
Filed under: Ursus thibetanus thibetanus
Lineage: Eukaryota; Metazoa; Chordata; Mammalia; Carnivora; Ursidae
Description: U2 spliceosomal RNA (ENSUTTG00000006878.1)
Rfam family: U2 spliceosomal RNA
About the family: U2 is a small nuclear RNA (snRNA) component of the spliceosome (involved in pre-mRNA splicing).
Source: RNAcentral
GUUGCUUCUUGGCCUUUUGGCUAAGGUCAAUGUAGCACAUGUUCUCAUCAGUUUAAAUCUGAUUUUUUUCUAUGGCUUUAUGGGGUGUGUUGAUGCAUGCAUUAAAGGAAAGAUGGUACUAAGAAGAUACUUAAAAUUGCACUUUGAGUUUUUUAAAAAAAAGAUAGCAUCUUUUUUUUAUAAUGUUUCAUUUCCAUGUGAUAAGAGUGCUGAUU